AGAGUUUGAUCAUGGCUCAGAACUAACGCUGGCGGCGUGCCUAACACAUGCAAGUCGUACGAGAAAGUUGGCUUCGGCCGAUGAGUAAAGUGGCGCACGGGUGAGUAACGCGUGGAUAAUCUACCCCUCAGUUGGGAAUAACUCAUCGAAAGGUGGGCUAAUACCGAAUAAUACUGCAUGACUUCUGUUGUGUAGUCAAAGAUGGCCUCUGCUUGCAAGCUAUCGCUGAAGGAUGAGUCCGCGUACCAUUAGCUAGUUGGUAGGGUAAUGGCCUACCCAAGGCAACGAUGGUUAGCUGGUCUGAGAGGAUGAUCAGCCACACUGGAACUGAGACACGGUCCAGACUCCUACGGGAGGCAGCAGUGAGGAAUAUUGCGCAAUGGGGGCAACCCUGACGCAGCAACGCCGCGUGAGUGAGGAAGGUUUUCGGACCGUAAAGCUCUGUCGAGCGGGAAGAAAUGCAUAGUGGCUAAUAUCCAUUAUGCUUGACGGUACCGCUAAAGGAAGCACCGGCUAACUCCGUGCCAGCAGCCGCGGUAAUACGGGGGGUGCUAGCGUUGUUCGGAAUCAUUGGGCGUAAAGAGCGUGUAGGCGGCUGGAUAAGUCAGAUGUGAAAGCCCUGGGCUUAACCCAGGAAGUGCAUUUGAAACUGUUCAGCUUGAGUAAGGGAGAGGAAAGUGGAAUUCCUGGUGUAGAGGUGAAAUUCGUAGAUAUCAGGAGGAACACCGGUGGCGAAGGCGACUUUCUGGCCCUAUACCGACGCUGAGACGCGAGAGCGUGGGUAGCAAACAGGAUUAGAUACCCUGGUAGUCCACGCUGUAAACGAUGUUCACUAGGUGUUGGGGGUAUUGACCCUCUCAGUGCCGCAGCUAACGCAUUAAGUGAACCGCCUGGAGAGUACGGUCGCAAGAUUAAAACUCAAAGGAAUUGACGG
RNAcentral lists this ribosomal RNA (934 nucleotides) under uncultured bacterium. RNAcentral's name for it is "bacterial SSU rRNA". It matches the Rfam family "Bacterial small subunit ribosomal RNA", at positions 8 to 916 of the family's 1533-position model. The record is from RNAcentral.